CCUACGGGGGGCUGCAGUGGGGAAUAUUGCACAAUGGGCGCAAGCCUGAUGCGGCCAUGCCGCGUGUGUGAAGAAGGCCUUCGGGUUGUAAAGCACUUUCAGCGGGGAGGAAGGCGUUAAGGUUAAUAACCUUGGCGAUUGACGUUACCCGCAGAAGAAGCACCGGCUAACUCCGUGCCAGCAGCCGCGGUAAUACGGAGGGUGCAAGCGUUAAUCGGAAUUACUGGGCGUAAAGCGCGCGCAGGCGGUCUGUCAAGUCGGAUGUGAAAUCCCCGGGCUCAACCUGGGAACUGCAUUCGAAACUGGCAGGCUAGAGUCUUGUAGAGGGGGGUAGAAUUCCAGGUGUAGCGGUGAAAUGCGUAGAGAUCUGGAGGAAUACCGGUGGCGAAGGCGGCCCCCUGGACAAAGACUGACGCUCAGGUGCGAAAGCGUGGGGAGCAAACAGGAUUAGAUACCCCAGUAGUC
This 465-nucleotide ribosomal RNA is filed under the name uncultured Klebsiella sp. Its description in RNAcentral is "bacterial SSU rRNA". It matches the Rfam family "Bacterial small subunit ribosomal RNA", at positions 338 to 795 of the family's 1533-position model. The record is from RNAcentral. Lineage: Bacteria; Pseudomonadati; Pseudomonadota; Gammaproteobacteria; Enterobacterales; Enterobacteriaceae.